CCACUCCUCACCUUUGCCAUGCUUCCAUGUGGGAGGAGUGUACUUCCUGGCCCAUCAGGAAGCUUGGCCAAGGGACUCGCCUUAGCCAAUGGAAUGAGAGCAAAUGUACACCACAUCUAAGCAGAAGCUUUAAAUGUACUUGAAUCGUUUGGGUCAACCUCUUUGUUCCUACCCUCUGCUAUGAGAAGAGUGUUCCAGAGAGGGGCUGCUCCUCCAGCCUACAUCCUGGGAUGGAAAGAAAUGUGGAGCUCAGCAGAGCCCAAAGCAAGCCAGAGCUGACCUACAGAACUGGAAACCAGAAGUAAUGUCAGGAGAGGCUUUCCCAUCUGAAAGAUAAUGAAACACCUGCUAUUCCUGAGGAGUCCACUAGAGGAUGAGACUCAUCCAGCCAUCCAACCGAGAGAUAAGUGGGGAAACUUUGGCAAAAGGACUGUUGAAAGAAUGCUGCCAAUCGCCAGAGGCAGACAUGUUUAUCAGGCUGUGUAUCUUGAAGUCUGACAGAAAAUCUGUGGCCUUUGGUACAGCUGAAAAACACUCUGUCAACACCAUGGAGAGUGCAAGCCCGUUGUGCUGGCCUCAACCCAAGGAGUGCAGGGGAAUGGACAAAAAUUUGACUCAAGGCCAAAAAUUACAAGAGGAGGGAAAGUCAGACUUGAGGCAAACAAGCCUUUUCCAUCGGGUCUGUUUAAUAUCUCGUUGAGCUUACUGCAACUACUACCCUACCAAAGUCACUGACUUCAGUAAACCAUGGCUCAGCCAUAUGAUGAAUCAUCCAGAUGAUCAAAAUUAUUCUUAUGAAGAGCUUUUAACAACAAAUACAGAUACUUGUGAUAUAACACUGUGAACAAAAGCAAGAUAUACAAGGGCAUUUGCAGUAUAAUGACAACUAUGAAACCGAUCCACAUACGAGAACAGCAAUACUCCAAAACUUCAAAAGGUGAUUAGCUAUAGAUGGUGGGAUUCUAGAUGAUUUUUGUUAUUUUCUAGACCUUGUAUUGAGUAUUCUAUAGUAAGUAUGGAUUCAUUUUUAUAAUUAAAAAUAUAUUUUUAAAUGGAAUAAAAUCUAUAAAAGGCAUCACCUACUUCUUUCAAAGGUCACAUAUUCCUUAAUCAUGGCUUGAAGCCUCAGAGCUAAAAUGGCAGUGUUCAAAAUAUACAUCUGCUUUAGAACCUAUUUUCUUCAAUCUUUCCUAUGAUACUUAAAAUUUCAUAGACCUUCACAGAAAUGUGGGAGGAAAUCUGUUAGUGACUUUGUACACGCACCCAGAUGAUCUGGAACUGGUACUCUCCAGUGAAGCAGCCACUGGUCACUGAGGCUACCAAGCACUCGAAAUGUGUCUGGUCCAAGCUGAGAUGAGCUCUGAGAAUGAAAUACACACCAGCUAUUGAAUAUAUGGGAAGGGGCAAAAAAUGUAAAAUAUCUCAAUACUAACUUUAUAUUGAUUACAUGUUGAAGUGAUAUUUUUGAGAUAUUGCAUUUAAUGAAAAAUACUAUUAAAUAAUUUCACCUUUUUUUUAAUGUGUAAUAUAAUGUAAUAUGUAAAAUGAGCUAUGUAGCUCACAUUAGCGCUCUUUUGGACUGAAAUACUCUAGAAAAAAAUUCUGCAGAAGUGUGCUUCGAUUAUCCAUCUAUCAUCUUUCAGAAACAUGCAGGAUCUGAAUACACACAGAUUGCUUGCCCAAGCCAGAUCUAUGGCCCCCAGUAAAAUGUAUUCUCCUGCCCCUCUUCCAAGUUGUAUCACACUUUUAGUGGUCAGACAAUUUCAGUUAUUUCCAAGCGCAGACGAAUUGAGGCCAGUUCGAUGAACAGCACUUACAGGCUGCACCUAACAGCCGUCUUGCCUUUCUUCAGACUGACACGGCCCACAGAGCUCAGAAUUCUCUAACUCCCUAACAUCUGCCUCUGUUCCCAUGGAUUCACUCACACAUCUGUGUAACACUUCAUUCAAAGGACACAGUCCCCAUUUGAGACAGCCUCAAAUAUUCACAGCUCCCAAAAGGCUGUGCCAAAGAAACUUCCUCCGUGUAGCUGUAGGCCAUCUCUCAAAGUGCCCUUGGUGUGAGGGGACUGAAAAUUAUUGCUCUUCAAAAGGGCAGGGGAAAAUGAAAGGAAGGAUUAUAUCUGCCUGAACUGCCAAACCAAACUCUGAGAAGCAGAUUCUCCAGAGAGUGACUCAGGCCCACAUGAUGUUUGUUGGGGAUGAUGUUUUCACUGGGAGGCGAAGUGUGCAUUUGCUUAUCUGGCCAAAGGCUACUCAACUUAUGUGGCCAGCCCACCCCACAGCAAACGUG
This 2292-nucleotide long non-coding RNA is filed under the name Homo sapiens (human). RNAcentral's name for it is "HSALNT0120131". The record is from RNAcentral. Lineage: Eukaryota; Metazoa; Chordata; Mammalia; Primates; Hominidae.